CGUACCCUUUGCUACGGAAUAGUCUCGGGAAACUGGGGGUAAUACCGUAUGUGCCCUACGGGGGAAAGAUUUAUCGGCAAAGGAUCGGCCCGCGUUGGAUUAGGUAGUUGGUGGGGUAAUGGCCUACCAAGCCGACGAUCCAUAGCUGGUUUGAGAGGAUGACCAGCCACACUGGGACUGAGACACGGCCCAGACUCCUACGGGAGGCAGCAGUGGGGAAUCUUAGACAAUGGGGGAAACCCCGAUCUAGCCAUGCCGCGUGAGUGAUGAAGGCCUUAGGGUUGUAAAGCUCUUUCGCUGGGGAAGAUAAUGACGGUACCCAGUAAAGAAGCCCCGGCUAACUCCGUGCCAGCAGCCGCGGUAAUACGGAGGGGGCUAGCGUUAUUCGGAAUUACUGGGCGUAAAGCGCACGUAGGCGGACCAGAAAGUUAGGGGUGAAAUCCCGGGGCUCAACCUCGGAACUGCCUCUAAAACUCCUGGUCUUGAGUUCGAGAGAGGUGAGUGGAAUUCCGAGUGUAGAGGUGAAAUUCGUAGAUAUUCGGAGGAACACCAGUGGCGAAGGCGGCUCACUG
Molecule: ribosomal RNA, 572 nt
Filed under: uncultured bacterium
Lineage: Bacteria
Description: bacterial SSU rRNA
Rfam family: Bacterial small subunit ribosomal RNA
Source: RNAcentral